AGCAGUAGCCGCGGUAAAACGGAGGGUGCAAGCGUUAAUCGGAAUUACUGGGCGUAAAGCGCACGCAGGCGGUCUGUCAAGUCAGAUGUGAAAUCCCCGGGCUUAACCUGGGAACUGCAUUUGAAACUGGCAGGCUAGAGUCUUGUAGAGGGGGGUAGAAUUCCAGGUGUAGCGGUGAAAUGCGUAGAGAUCUGGAGGAAUACCGGUGGCGAAGGCGGCCCCCUGGACAAAGACUGACGCUCAGGUGCGAAAGCGUGGGGAGCAAACAGGAUUAGAUACCCCAGUAGUCCCUGUCUCUUAUAC
This 303-nucleotide ribosomal RNA is filed under the name uncultured bacterium. RNAcentral describes it as "partial 16S ribosomal RNA". It matches the Rfam family "Bacterial small subunit ribosomal RNA", at positions 507 to 807 of the family's 1533-position model. The record is from RNAcentral.